This 375-nucleotide ribosomal RNA is filed under the name uncultured bacterium. RNAcentral describes it as "partial 16S ribosomal RNA". It matches the Rfam family "Bacterial small subunit ribosomal RNA", at positions 354 to 720 of the family's 1533-position model. The record is from RNAcentral.
UGGGGGAAUUUUGGACAAUGGGCGAAAGCCUGAUCCAGCAAUGCCGCGUGUGUGAAGAAGGCCUUCGGGUUGUAAAGCACUUUUGUCCGGAAAGAAAUCCUUGGCUCUAAUACAGUCGGGGGAUGACGGUACCGGAAGAAUAAGCACCGGCUAACUACGUGCCAGCAGCCGCGGUAAUACGUAGGGUGCAAGCGUUAAUCGGAAUUACUGGGCGUAAAGCGUGCGCAGGCGGUUUGCUAAGACCGAUGUGAAAUCCCCGGGCUCAACCUGGGAACUGCAUUGGUGACUGGCAGGCUAGNGUAUGGCGAGAGGGGGGUAGAAUUCCACGUGUAGCAGUGAAAUGCGUAGAGAUGUGGAGGAAUACCGAUGGCGCGA